CGGGGUGUAGCGCAGCCUGGUAGCGCGCCUGCUUUGGGAGCAGGAUGUCGGGAGUUCGAAUCCCCCCACCCCGACCA
Molecule: transfer RNA, 77 nt
Filed under: Pseudomonadota bacterium
Lineage: Bacteria; Pseudomonadati; Pseudomonadota
Also listed under: 1 other name
Description: tRNA-Pro
Rfam family: tRNA
About the family: Transfer RNA (tRNA) molecules are approximately 80 nucleotides in length. Their secondary structure includes four short double-helical elements and three loops (D, anti-codon, and T loops).
Source: RNAcentral